RNAcentral lists this ribosomal RNA (242 nucleotides) under uncultured bacterium. RNAcentral describes it as "partial 16S ribosomal RNA". It matches the Rfam family "Bacterial small subunit ribosomal RNA", at positions 92 to 334 of the family's 1533-position model. The record is from RNAcentral.
AAAGCGGCGGACGGGUGAGUAACGCGUAGGCAACCUGCCCUUUGCAGAGGGAUAGCCUCGGGAAACCGGGAUUAAAACCUCAUAAUACCGCAGUGAGACAUCUCACGGCGGUCAAAGAUUUAUCGGCAAAGGAUGGGCCUGCGUCUGAUUAGUUAGUUGGUGAGGUAACGGCCCACCAAGGCGACGAUCGGUAGCCGGACUGAGAGGUUGAACGGCCACAUUGGGACUGAGACACGGCCCAG